RNAcentral lists this non-coding RNA (430 nucleotides) under Eucalyptus grandis. Its description in RNAcentral is "Eukaryotic small subunit ribosomal RNA". It matches the Rfam family "Eukaryotic small subunit ribosomal RNA", at positions 99 to 472 of the family's 1831-position model. Lineage: Eukaryota; Viridiplantae; Streptophyta; Magnoliopsida; Myrtales; Myrtaceae. The record is from Rfam by way of RNAcentral.
CAGAGCGUAGGCUUUUUUUAGGCACUCCAAUUUCUUCAAAGUAACAGCACCAGAGGCACGAUCCGACCAGUUAAGACUAGGAGUGUAUCGCCGGUAGAAGAGACAAGUAAUUCUAGAGCUAAUACGUGCAAGAAACCCCGACUUUUGGAAGGGAUGCAUUUAUUCGAUAAAAUGUUGACGUGAGCUUUGCUCAUUGCUCUAAUGAUUCAUGAUAACUUGAUGGAUCGCACAGCCAUCAUGCCGGUGACGCAUCAUUCAAAUCUCUAUCUCUACCCUAUCAAAUGGUAAGAUUGUGGACUAAUAUGGUGGUGACGGGUGACGGAGAAUUAGGGUUCAAUUUCCGGAGACAGAGCCUAGGAAAUGGCUACCACAUCCAAAGAAGGCAACAGGCGCACAAAUUACAUAAUCCUGACACAGGGAGGUAGUGACA